RNAcentral lists this ribosomal RNA (403 nucleotides) under uncultured bacterium. RNAcentral's name for it is "bacterial SSU rRNA". It matches the Rfam family "Bacterial small subunit ribosomal RNA", at positions 355 to 774 of the family's 1533-position model. The record is from RNAcentral.
UGAGGAAUAUUGCACAAUGGGCGCAAGCCUGAUGCAGCAACGCCGCGUGCGGGACGAAGGCCUUCGGGUCGUAAACCGCUUUUCUGGGGGAAGAGCAAGGACGGUACCUCAGAAAUAAGUCUCGGCUAACUACGUGCCAGCAGCCGCGGUAAAACGUAGGAGGCGAGCGUUAUCCGGAUUUACUGGGCGUAAAGCGCACGCAGGCGGCUCUGUUAGUCGGACGUGAAAGCUCUCGGCUUAACCGGGAGAGGCCGUUCGAUACUGCGGGGCUUGAGGGAGGGAGAGGAAUGCGGAAUUCCCGGGGGAGGGGCGGAAUGCGUAGAUAUCGGGAGGAACACCUGUGGCGAAAGCGGCAUUCUGGCCCUAACCUGACGCUGAGGUGCGAAAGCGUGGGUAGCAAACA